This is a long non-coding RNA of Haliotis rubra (blacklip abalone), 386 nucleotides long. RefSeq lists it as uncharacterized. Lineage: Eukaryota; Metazoa; Mollusca; Gastropoda; Lepetellida; Haliotidae. The record is from RefSeq and is a predicted model, not a curated record. The transcript is spliced from 3 exons.
GUCUGAUACCGUAGUCAUGGUAGAAAUUUAAUAUAUAAAUAACAAUAAAUGUUUGAGCCACAGACUGUUCACCGAUACGUCACAUGGAUGGAUCAUGUGGAGGUGGAAUUGAAAAUAUCGUGCAUAGACAACUUACAUCGUUAAGCAUUCAGUCACGUUAUUUACGUUACCGCAAUGUAAUUUACGUUACUUAUAUAUAUAUAGGACGAUAACAACCUAAAACUACUUUCACUUGUCAAAGUUUGAUUCACAUUUGAUAUUUCGGCAAUGCCAGACAACCAAACACAAAAGUUUCGCGAAACUUUCCAAAUUUCCAAAUAUGGCGGUAACGUAAAUUAUAGUAACGUAAAUUAGUUCUGGUAAUGAAUAAUGAUGAAAACAGUAUG